GCACAGGGCCAAGAAUGGAGCCCUCUGGAACCCCACUGGUGACAGGUCACCAGUCUGUUGUCACCCCAUUCACUAUCACCCUCAUGCCUGACCUGUGAGCCAGUUGCUCACCCAUGCCAUAAUGUGUUUAUCCAGCUGUGUGCUGCACAUUUUGUCCAGAAGGACACUGGGAGUGACACUAUUGAAAGCUUUUCUGAAAUCCAAAGAGUGCAUUCACUGGUUUCCCGCGAUCAAGAGAACCCAUAAGAGAAAUCCUGUGAAGAAUCAAGAUACCCAUGUUUUAUGGAUAGAACUUUUCGGGAACAGUGAACCCUGUGCCACCAGUGCAAAUCACAGUCCGAGCACUCCAAUUUCAGCACCUUCUGGGAACUUGCAACAAGUAUGAAACAUUGCCUAGAGAACAACAGUGCUACCCAAACUCUCUCCAGUCCUGGGUGCAAACUGCAGGAAUCAGCCCUGCUCAAACAUCCAGAUUAUUUCAAGGCCUGCUACCACAGCUUUUGAGAAUUCUUAAGUCCCUUUAUAUGUGAAAGAAGGUAUCUUCUUGCUCCUAAGUCUACCAUGUCUCCUCAGAGCUGUCUACAUCAACAUCAAGAAAUCUACAUCAGAGCAAAGAAAGAGAUUUCUAGGAAGAUUGACAUUCAGAGAUCUUACCUAAGGGUGGAUAGUUAUAAGUGGCACAGAAUGUGGGAGAAAAAAAGAGGCCACGUUUUAAAGCACUAUUCUUCUCCAAUGGUUUGGAAGUUCACACCUGAAUAACUACAGGACCCUGUUAAAGUGGCAGAAUAUUUGACAGAAAAAGGCAGUUCUAGACAGGGGGGAAGUUCUACAGUGUCCCUGGACCUUGGCAACUAUUCAUUGAAUAUGGCUUGAUACUAGAUAGCACCCUCACCAGGAAGAGGAGGAAAGCAGAGAAAGAUGCACUGUGGGCACUCAAACGGCAGCUGAACCACAGAAAUGACUCAUGCUACUCAGUAGCAGUUGUCCCUAUACAGAAGAAAUCCAAGUUAAAAUCCGUUCACUUCGUGAGGGGUGAAGAAAUAGAGCCCUUAAAACAGGAGGCAGGACCAAAGAUAAUCACUUAAUUCCUAGCCCCAAGUCAGCUGUGAGAUACACAAGAUUUCAGUCAGGUGAGUCCUUGGUGACCUGUCUGCUCCAAUACUGGCACAAUGUGGCUCCCUAUAUGAAACUAAUGGUAAAGAAUCUAAGAAACUGGGAUUCCUGUCCUGGAAUGUGGGCAUUGAUAAGGGUGUUGGGAAGAGGACAGUACAUUACCAUCUGGAGUCAUGGACAAAAAGGAUCUGAAUUCCAAGAAAAAUGAGAUCCUUGCAUUUUAUUAAGGGGCUCAAGCCACCUCCAAAGUGUUUGGCACCAAAGCACAGCUUCUCAUGGCACCCCGACUGCCAGUGCUGGGCUGAAUGUUGAAAGGGACAGUCUCUUACACACAUCAUGCCACUGAGGCUGUGCAGAGUAAGUAGAUCGCACUGAUCAGAUAGCAAGCUCAAACAGGAAAACCCAAUUGUCCAGGGAUCCUGGAGCUCAUAAUGAACUGCCCCAAAAGUGAAAAUUUCAGAGUAUCCAACUACCAGACAAGAAGGAAAAGAUGACACAUGGUGAGGAGGGCCUGCCCACCACUUAACCAGCUACCAGAAAAUGAAAAGAACAUGCUCUCUUUAGUGAUGGUUCCUGCCAUAGUGGCAAUGUAAGAGUGAGUUAUUUUUGGCUCAAAGGGCCCUUGACUCCUCCAAUCAUCCAGUAAGAGAUGCUGCAUACACAUGGGCUCACGACUGAGGAGUGUACUUAAACACGGACACUAUUUCCCAGGUGAUGCAUAACUGUGGAACAUUCACUGCAAUCAACAGGCCAAAUGGGUAAAGUCUCUGUGGUAUGGGGGAUGAUGGUCAAAAUAUAAAUAUGAGCAGGCCUGGCAGAUUAAUUACAUCACACUCCCACAACACUACAAGGUAAUAGCUACCUUGAUAUUCGUGUAAAGAACAACUGAAUGGCUGCAGAUGUACCCUGUGCCUUAUACCACUGCCUGGAAUACCAUCUUGACCUUGCAAAGCAAGUUCUGUACAUGGUACCCCAGAAAGAACUGACCUGGACUACAGGACUCAUUUCAAAAAUAACGCCUGGGCUAGAGAGCAUGGUAUUGAGCAGGUAUAGCACACUCCCUGUCAGGCACCAGCCCCUAGUAAAACUGAACCUGUGCAAGCAAUUCAGCAAUUUCAGAUCUUGAGACUUCACAAGGCUAAGAAAUCAUACACGUUGGCUGCUCUCCAGCAUACAUAAAGUAUAUUCACCUGCCACUGUCCACCACAUUGCUUGGGCAAAACAGAUCCUCUUGAGGUGCAAAGGGAUGGCAAGUCUGCUGUGCACCUUGAUAGGUUGCUCUCAAAGCUUAUCAAGCUAAUAAAUACAAGUCAGAUGUGUCUUUCUCCAUAACAAGAAUCAAAGGCACAUGUUUGAUGUGCCUAAAGAUUUAUCUAAUGUUGCAGAAGCAAGCAAAAUACUGUCUCACUUCACCCUGCUCUCAUCACUAGCAAUCCUGCAGGGAUAAACCUAAUGAGAGACUUUGUGUUCUCCUGCAUAAUAAUAAUUUCCAUCUUUGUUUAGGUAAAUUGAAUACUGAGCUCAGGUUUUCUCUGAUCAGCAUUUUCUUCACCUGAGAAUUGUAUGACAAGCCAUGACUUUCUUUUUCAACUUCUUCCUAAAAAUGCAUACAGUGUGUGCAAUUUUCUCAUGUCCUUCUCAGCCACUUACUCAGUGGUGAAAUCAGCUCUCUUCACAGUCUGAAUAUCAAGUUUUAUACAUUUGGAGGCCACUGUAGAUGAUUUUGCUGUCAUGUUAUAUUAGGUUCUCUUGCAGAACUGUUUGUUAACUGUGACUUCUAGAUCCCUUUUAUAGUUUCUCCUUUUGAAAAUACUAUUCUACUCUUACUGAGAUGAGGCUUGCAUUUCUCAUUGGUUGUAUUGGUUUAAAUACAACCAAUUGUGACUGUAUUUAAAAACUGCCUUUUGUUUAAAUUAGUUUUGUUUAAUUUUUCAAGUGGCUUCAGAAAGCCAUAGCUUUCUGCAAUGUGACAUCUGCCCAUUUUAUUAACAGCAAAUCUAUUUAUCUCUAGAUCAUAAAGUGUUGGAAAUCAUUGGAUAGAAUGCUCUGAAGAACUGCAGUAGAAAUAUUUCUGUUCAGUGAUGCUAAAAAAUAACCAAUUUUUGUGCAUGACUAUCUUAAUAGGAGUUUGAAUGAUAAUUAGCAGCAAAAAAAAAAAAAAGUAGCUGCAAUUGUACAGUAUUACACCAGCUCUCAGUAAUGCUGCCAGUAGCAAAAAAGGAGAAGGCCAGGCUUAUGCCCUAAAUUUGUGCCCUGAACAUAAAGUCACUAACAUCCAGAGCAGGGCAACAGAGCUCUCCUGUGCACCUUCUCUGCCCUACCUCCUCUCUCCUGGCACUGAGGGCCUCCUGAUCACAUUGGUUCACCAGACUGGCUCAGGGCAGCUUCAGUGUGCCAGCUGUACACUCAAGCACAGCAAGAGAGCAUUGCAAGGUGUGACACCCUGGUGUGCUGAGAGAGGACUACAACUUCCACUCUAAAAGCACACAUUUCAGAGGCAUUUUCAACAGAUGGCCUUAGCAUGCACAAUUCUUUUUCUGAUAUGCUUCAACAAUAUUACCAGAGGUAUGCCAACAAGA
This is a long non-coding RNA of Passer domesticus (house sparrow), 3692 nucleotides long. RefSeq lists it as uncharacterized. NCBI's taxonomy places the organism in Eukaryota, Metazoa, Chordata, Aves, Passeriformes, Passeridae. The transcript has 4 exons. The record is from RefSeq and is a predicted model, not a curated record.